GCGGAAGCUUAAGUGUGGCCUGAAAGCCCCCGGCUCAACCGGGGAGGGUGGCUGCAAACUGGGCUUCUUGAGGGGGAUAGAGGAAAGUGGAAUUCCGGGUGUAGCGGUGAAAUGCGUAGAGAUCCGGAGGAACACCAGUGGCGAAGGCGGCUUUCUGGGUCCGCCCUGACGCUGAGGCGCGAAAGCGUGGGGAGC
RNAcentral lists this ribosomal RNA (195 nucleotides) under uncultured Armatimonadota bacterium. RNAcentral's name for it is "uncultured Armatimonadetes bacterium partial 16S ribosomal RNA". It matches the Rfam family "Bacterial small subunit ribosomal RNA", at positions 575 to 769 of the family's 1533-position model. Lineage: Bacteria; Bacillati; Armatimonadota. The record is from RNAcentral.